CAGAAUGGUCGCACGUGUGCUUAAACCUUUUUUAAAAUAAUUUUUUGUUGUUUUUGAUAUUUAUUUAAAAGUAGAUAAAGUAAAAUAAAUAAAAAGUAGAAAAUGGAAAUAAAAUAAGUAGGUAAAUUACUAAAUAAAAAUAAAGAGUAAAAAUAAAAAUAAAAUGAAAACUUUAAUGAUAAAAUAAAAGGUGUGGUGGUGCUUAGAUAAGAGAUUGGGCGUCUAAACUACUUAUUUAAAAAAAACUGUUUGGGCCCAAACCCAAGGGUCUAGGGGUGUGAAAAUGAAAAAAACGGGGGUGCAAACCUAUUUAGUUCCUAUAAGAGACUGGGCCAAGCCCAAGUGGACAGGGGUGCGAAACGGAAACAAAGGGGUGCAGAAAGGAUUUGUAUUUUUUGGUAAGGCUUGAGUCCGAAGAGAAAGGAGGGUGUGAAAUUAGAACAAAAGGGGGUGCACGGAGGAAAAGUAUUUUUUUUGUUUAUUAUUUUUUUUUAAAAUGGCAUAGGGACUCAGGCCCAAGACUCUUCAGCAGAAAAAAUAGGGGUCUUCAAGCUCUCCCUCUCAUCUCAGCGUUCACACUCCAAACCCCAGAGCUAGGGUUCCCUUGAGAAAAAGAAAACCAUGAAGGUUUCGCGUCCCCAACUCGCACGCGCCACCAUCAGCGGCUCCAGCCAAGCGGACCAGCCACCACGAGGGGUUGUCGACGGCGACACCAACGCCUUCGGCGGAAGAACCACCGCCGGUUGCGCCGGACCACCGUCUUGCACUUUCUUCUUCGCGCGAAACCAGCCCCAACUCCGAGAACCCAUCGUUCCCGCCGCCGUUGACGAAACCAAUGACCACAAGCCGCGAACCAAGGUCGCGCCGGUAACGCUGCUCGUCGCCGGCCGUCGGGUCUUCUCCCUUCCUUCUCCUUUUCCCGCACGAGAAAAGCUCUCUCUCGCUCCUUCGUCAAACACCGCCUGAGCGAUCCUGGCCACCAUGAAGCAGAGCACCUCCGUUCCACAGGUCGCGGCUAAGGUCGCCGCCGGACCUCACGUUGACGUCUUCCACCGCCAUGGCCAAAUCCACUUCCACCCAAAAUCGUCACUGCGCCAGCCACCUCUAGGAAUCCCACUGUUUAGCUAUCAGAGAAAACAGCCCCAAAGGCUUGCCGAGACAAUGCUUGGGGGUUUGCUUAUUUCCUGUGAGAAUCAGGAUGGUUCUUGAAUGAUCGGAAGCUGACCUAGACGAUGAAACUAUUGUAUAUAUUUUUUAUUUUAUAUUUUUUUUUUGCAGGGAAAUGACUUUGGGGUUACUGACAUUUCCAUAAUGAAACUGAGAUUAUGAGUGGGUGAUGAUGUAUCUGCUUAGAUGUCUCUCUCGCAGGAAGAUGGUCACAGGGGUUUGCAUGGUAUAAGCGAAGAUUGAUGAAGGAUAAUGGGUGUUUUGUCUCUGUUUGCAGGUUUGUGGUAAGGCAUGUUUUUGUUGUUAUGAAGCACGAAUGACAAACAGUAUGUGGAAGCAAAUCAUGUAUAUCGUCAAACAGAAUGGAUAGGAAAAGAUGACCAAGAUAUGCAUACAACACUCAGAAUAUUCAAUGACAACCAUUCAUAAGCAUACAAAGGUAUUCUAACAGCUCAGGAAUAUUCCACAACAACCAUACAUAAGCGGUAGAGUAAAAAGGCAUUCUAACAGCGAUUGUGAAAUAAGUUUACUCGUUUACCGCUUGGAGCUUCCUUAGUACGGUUGCUGUGACAUGAUGAAUGAAGUUUGUGCUGAUGGGGAAGAAAGUAGACUACUAUAGUGGCCGAGUUUCUGUGCUAUUGCUAACUUCAUACCCCUGAUGAUCUCCUCUCUCCUCUUGGCCGGCUCCUCUUUUGUUUCUUUGUAGGUGAACGGAGGUUGCAGAUGUGCGAAGGAUGGCGUCUCAGCUUGAAAAAAAGGAAAAAAUUGGGUAGAGGAUUGUGCUUGUAUGCGUGAUGGGGGAACCGUUUCUGUUGAGUGAAUAGAGAGUGAAUCGGAGCUGAGAGUAGUGUGUGUGUGAGGGAGGAUGAUGUUGCUUCUGUUAGCCCCCAAGAACCCUCUUCUUCUCCCCCUCCAAGAUAUUGAAGCAAUUUGAUACCCACCAGACGCUCCUCCCUGUCGCACUGCCUCCAGGAAGAUCAGAGCAUAUCUCUUUCUUGGGAUUUCUUUUUUUGUCUUUUCUUUCUUUUUCUGCGUUUAGAUUGGAUCAAAUAACCAAAGCCGUUCAAAUUUCUUUUCCCGUAUGAUGUUUGAUUGCAGAAACUGUGUAAGAAAUUCACAGGCUUUUCCACGCUCCCAUUGUAUGGGAUAUGUUGAGUGUUUAACGAUACCUGAUGCACUGUUGCUUUGAGUUGCAGGAAAAAGCAUAGUUGACUCUUUUGUGAUUUUUGUUUCUUUCUGUUUUUUUUUUCGUUUUCUUUUUUUUUUCGUCUUUUU
Molecule: long non-coding RNA, 2442 nt
Filed under: Vigna radiata
Lineage: Eukaryota; Viridiplantae; Streptophyta; Magnoliopsida; Fabales; Fabaceae
Description: long non-coding RNA (VRAD_LNC011003)
Source: RNAcentral